ACAGACACUAUGUCAGGCUCUUAACCCGCUAAGUCACAAUGGGAACUCCUAUAGUGAGAAAACUUAACUGAUGCCCGUUGCUGGCUUUAAAGAUGGAGAGAAGGGGAGCCAAAGAGGCGGGAGGCCUCUAAAACCUGGAAAAGGCAAGGAAUGGAAGUUCCCAUCAUGACGCAGCAGAAAUGAAUCCGACUAGGAACUGUGAGGUUGUGGGUUCAAUUCCUGGCCUCGCUCAGUGGGUUAAGGAUUCGGCAUUGCCGUAAGCUGUGGUAGGUCGCAGACACAGCUCAGGUCUGACGUUGCUGUAGCUGUGGUGUAGGCUGGCAGCCAUAGCUCCAAUUUGACCCCUUGCCUGGGAACCUCCAUAUGUCGCGGGUACAGUCCUAAAAAGACAAAAAAGAAAGAAAAGGCAAGUAAUGGAUUCCUCCUUAAAGUCUUCAGAAGGAAUCAGAGCCCUGCAGACACAUUGAUUUAUCUUGCCGAUACUCAUUUCAUCAAAGAUUCCAGUUCUGACCUCCAGAACUGUAAGAUAAGACUUAUAGCUAUAACUGACAUGAUAAGACUUACAUAUCUUAUAACUAUAAGAUAUGUCCUAGGCCUCUACCCAAACAAAACUCUAAUUCAAAAAUAUACAUGCUCCCCUAUGUUCACUGCAGCACUGUGCACAAUAGCCAAGACAUGGAAACAACCCAAAUGUCCAUCAACAGAGGAAAGGAUUAAGAAGAUAUGGUACAUGUACACAAUGGAAUACUACUAAACCAUAAAAAGAAUGAAACAAUGCCAUUUGCAGCAACAUGGAUGGACCCAGAGAUUAUAAGGUCCUAAGCAAAGUAAGUCAGAAAGAGAAAGACAAAUACCAUAUGAUACACUUAUAUGUGGAAUCUAAAAUAUGUCACAAAUGAACUUAUUUACAAAACAGAAACAGGAGUUCCCGUCCUGGUGCAGUGGUUAACGAAUCCGACUAGGAACCAUGAGGUUGCAGGUUCGAUCUCUGGCCUUGGUCAGUGGGUUAAGGAUCCGGCGUUGCCAUGAGCUGUGGUGUAGGUCACAGAUGCGGCUCAGAUCCUGCGUUGCUGUGGCUGUGGUGUAGGUCGGCGGCUACAGCUCUGAUUAGACCCCUAGCCUGGGAACCUCCAUAUGCUGCAGGAGCGGCCCUAGAAAAGACAAAAAAAAAAAAAACAGACCCACAGACGUAGAGAACAGAUAUGUGGAUGCUAAGGGAGAGGGGGCAAGGACUGGGAGCUUGGGAUUAGCAGAUGCAAACUAUUAUACUGAGAAUAGAUAAACAACAAGAUCCUACUGUGUAGCACAGGGAAAUAUAUUCGAUAUCCUGUGAUAAACUAUAAUGGAAAAGAAUCUGAAAAGGAUUUAUGUAUGUAUAAGUGAAUCACUUUGCUGUACGGUAGCAAUUAACACAACAUUGUAAAUCAAUUAUACUUCAAUACAAUUUUUUAAAAAAGAAAUGUGUGUUGUUUUAGACCACUAAAUGGGUGGUCAUUUGUUCAGCAGAAAAAAGAGGAACUAGUAUAGGCAUACUGUGGCCAGUUUGCCACAGUCCCCACCAUUCCCUAUUACCCUUCUCCAUUUCAGUUAUUUCUAUUUCUUGCCUGGCUUCUACUGGCACAUGAGUGUUUAGACUCUACCUUAAGCCAUCAAUCUUCCCCUGAAACCUUGACAACUAAGUAUUUUCUGGUGACUGUAGGAGUCAGUAUUUCUUUAUACAUUUUUGAGAAACAAAGGAUUCUCAAAAAAUGGAUACCAAUCACCGGUAUUAUCCUUCUGUGUCACCAUUUAAAUUUUGCCAAGUAUUUCCUAACAUUUCAUUCCAGCUUCCCAACCCACCACCCUGAGCUGCUUUUAUCAAUUGGGUUUUGACAAAUAAUUAAGCCCAACAACAAAGAGAGGGACUAUAUUCUUGGCAGCUGGCCCUGCUGGAGAUGCAGAGGAGAGGGGUGAAUUUACAACAUAAAAAGUGAUGCUUCAGGCACUGGGCCGUACUCCUCUGGCAGACCACACUGAGGAGGCUACCCUGGGGUGGAAGGACAGUUUUAUCCACAUUUUGUUUUUGUUUUUGGCUCAUAGCGUGGGGAAGUUCCCGGGCCAGGGAUCAAACCGGCACAACAGCAGUGACCUAAGCUGCUGCACAGAUAACACCAGGUCUUUAACCCACUGUGUCACAAGGGAAUUCUAAUUUUAUUCAUAUGUGAUGGACAAAAAAAUGAGCUAUGGAGCCUGACUUCUCUAAAGCCACACAGCAAGCAACCAUGGAACCGGCUAGAGACUCCUCCCUCAUCCCAGAGGCUCUCCCACUAAACUCUGUCCUGCAUCUUUGCUGUGACUUUAUGACCAACUGUGAAACCUCUGAUCCAGCCUCCAAAAGCACCCCAUCUCUGGGGUGAGCAAAAGCUCCUGGGUGGCUGGCAUCCCUCUGCCUAAGCCUCUCACUCCCCCCAAUAUAAUCACCCUCCACUUAGCAGAUUCUACAUUUCAUCUUCCUAAAUGCACAAGCUGUCCCAAAUGUGACUUGAACGUUAACUGCUUGUGUUUGCCCUGCUUGGGGGAAAAAUCUUGCUGCUAUGAAAUGGAAGCUGUUAUGGGCACCUGGAGAUUUUGUCUCUCCAAUCCCAAAUACAUCAUAUAACGGUAAAUAUGAAGUGCCUGGUACCCUAAUUUUAAAUGACAACAUCCGGGACGAUGACGCCUCAGGGAUUUUGAAAUACUAGAGGAACCUACUUCAGAUUAUCUUUCAGCAAGAUUUAUGAUACAGUUGGUUUAAUUUACAUGUCUGGAAACCCGCUCUGCCCAGUUAUCUCUCUGAAGAAGCUGAGCACUUUGAGGUGACAAAAUUAGAAGAGAUUGCCAGUGUUCAGGAAAGGAAAGGCAUGCACCUGAAAAUAUUUAUUAAACUGUCACAAUCAGUACUAACGAUCAUAGUCAAAGGCAUUUCCCCAUUUAAAAACAAAAGCUAAUAAACUGCUUAAAAGAUACAGGGUUUCCCCCGAGGGCCAUGAAAAAGUCCUGGAACUAGAUAGCGGUGAUGGUUGCACAAUAUGACGAGAGUACUUGAUACUAUUGAAUUGUUCACUUUGGUUAAAAUAGUACAGGAAAAGAUGCUCAACAUGGUUAAUUAUUAGAGAAACGCAAAUCAAAACUAUAAUGAGGGACUGCCUCACACCGGAGCAUCCUCAGCACCCAGAGCCCCAGACCCCACCGUGCCCACCUACCCUGUGGCGCUGACCCUCAUUCCUGCCUCCUCCAUCAGCACUGAUGGGUCUUUUCCUGAAGCUCAAGGCCAAGCCUUGUACCUUGACUGCAAUUUAGAAUGACCCGGGGAGCUUUCAAAAGUGCUCAUGUAUGGCCUUUUCCCAGACCCAUGGAGCCAGGGCCUCUGGAGCAUAGUCUACGAGCUGGACACACCAGAUGGUCUAAGGCACCCCUGGCUCUCUAGUCUUCAUGGAUCCAUUCUCAUUCAUUCUCAUUUCAUAAAGAGCUACCAUAGGCCCUCUCAAGUAAAACACACACACUCAAAUCUCUCUCUUUGGAUAAUGCAUUUUUGGGGAUUUUUUUUUCUUUUUUAUGGGUGCACCUGCAGGACAUGGAAGUUCCCAUGCUAGAGGUCGAAUCAGAGCUGCUGCUUCCAGCCUACACCACAACCACAGCAAUGCCAGAUCUGAGCCACAUCUGAGACCUGCGCAACAGCCUGCAGCAAUGCUGGAUCCUUUAACCCACUAAGCGAGGCCAGGGAUUGAACCCGCAUCCUCCAGUACACUAUGUUGAGUUCUUAACCGGCUGAGCUAGAAUGGGAGCUCUCGAUGAUGCAUUUUCACCUUAAAAACUUGUUAGCAACCUGGGUUCUUGGCCUUCCUUAAUCAAUAGAUAUUGGUAAGCGGUCAGGCAAGAGAUUCCAGCAAGGCUGCAGCGGGGGUGGGGUGGAGGGGUUGAAAACAAGCAACAGGUUCGCUGGCUUGCUUCUCCCUAAGCAGGGGAGUGCGAGCUGGUUCUUUAUAUGGGGUGAGGGUAGGGGUGGGCCCAGGAGUGGGGCCAGAGGGGUGGCUUAGGUGUUCUGCCCACCCAUUUGGUGGUGGUGUGUGCAGGGGGCAUGCGUAGUACCCUAUUUUUGUUCCCGGCACACUGCUUUUGCUGUCAAUUCCUCCCAAGUGGCAUUUGGGUUUUUAGUUUUUUGUCUAUCUUCCUGUCCUGUAAUUUGCCCCAGCUGCGCAUACACAGUUAUUUUUAGUCCCUUAGAGUUUCUUUGUAUUCUGUUGUGCGAGAUGUUUGUCCAGGUGCAAACACUGCAGCCACUGUAGCCAAGGGUCCCAGGUCCCAGACUGUCUCAGAAUGACUUCCCCACAAAAAAAACCUGAGGUUCAGUGACACCCAGCGGGGAAGUGAUUUCUGGAGGGAAAAGCUUGGACGUCCCUGAGAUGCUGGUGAUUGCAAUGGUAAUGUGGAAUUGGGGGCUGUUUUCCCCGGGGAGCUUAGUGGAGACGUGUGCGGAGUGGUGGUUGGAGCCGGCUUCCAGCACAGCCACCCUACCUUGGAUGGGGAGGGAGCAGGCUGUGUUCUCCCCCCAGAAGGAGGGUACCUCUGC
This 4588-nucleotide long non-coding RNA is filed under the name Sus scrofa (pig). Its description in RNAcentral is "lncRNA (ENSSSCG00055021667.1)". Lineage: Eukaryota; Metazoa; Chordata; Mammalia; Artiodactyla; Suidae. The record is from RNAcentral.